This 497-nucleotide ribosomal RNA is filed under the name uncultured bacterium. RNAcentral's name for it is "partial 16S ribosomal RNA". It matches the Rfam family "Bacterial small subunit ribosomal RNA", at positions 28 to 507 of the family's 1533-position model. The record is from RNAcentral.
GAUGAACGCUGGCGGCGUGCCUAAUACAUGCAAGUCGAGCGAACGGACGAGAAGCUUGCUUCUCUGAUGUUAGCGGCGGACGGGUGAGUAACACGUGGAUAACCUACCUAUAAGACUGGGAUAACUUCGGGAAACCGGAGCUAAUACCGGAUAAUAUUUUGAACCGCAUGGUUCAAAAGUGAAAGACGGUCUUGCUGUCACUUAUAGAUGGAUCCGCGCUGCAUUAGCUAGUUGGUACGGUAACGGCUUACCAAGGCAACGAUGCAUAGCCGACCUGAGAGGGUGAUCGGCCACACUGGAACUGAGACACGGUCCAGACUCCUACGGGAGGCAGCAGUAGGGAAUCCUCCGCAAUGGGCGAAAGCCUGACGGAGCAACGCCGCGUGAGUGAUGAAGGUCUUCGGAUCGUAAAACUCUGUUAUUAGGGAAGAACAUAUGUGUAAGUAACUGUGCACAUCUUGACGGUACCUAAUCAGAAAGCCACGGCUAACUACGUG